CAGCAUGGUCUUAGCUUGCUAAGGCCGAUGGCGACCGGCGGAAGGGUGCGUAACGCGUGAGCGACAUGCCCGUUGCCCGUGGACAACCGGUGGAAACGCCGACUAAUCCCCGAUGGGAUAUUGUGCCGCAUGGCACGAUAUUGAAAGUUACGGCGGCGACGGAUUGGCUCGCGUCCGAUUAGCUGGUUGGCGGGGUAACGGCCCACCAAGGCUGCGAUCGGUAGGGGUUCUGAGAGGAAGGUCCCCACAAUGGAACUGAGACACGGUCCAUACUCC
Molecule: ribosomal RNA, 276 nt
Filed under: uncultured bacterium
Lineage: Bacteria
Description: partial 16S ribosomal RNA
Rfam family: Bacterial small subunit ribosomal RNA
Source: RNAcentral